UAUAAUUUUUUACUCUUUAUCUUAUUCAAAUUUUUUUGCGAUUGAUAUUUUUAUUUUUAUUAGAUGAUAAAUCAUGAAUAGUACUUUAUGUGUGACUAUUUUUCUAAUAUUCUAAAAGUUUUUCAAAUAAGACGGAUGGUCAAACGUCGAACACGGAAACC
This 161-nucleotide microRNA precursor is filed under the name Oryza brachyantha (malo sina). RNAcentral's name for it is "MIR812 microRNA precursor family". It matches the Rfam family "MIR812 microRNA precursor family", at positions 27 to 189 of the family's 205-position model. The record is from Rfam by way of RNAcentral. Lineage: Eukaryota; Viridiplantae; Streptophyta; Magnoliopsida; Poales; Poaceae.